RNAcentral lists this ribosomal RNA (446 nucleotides) under uncultured bacterium. RNAcentral describes it as "partial 16S ribosomal RNA". It matches the Rfam family "Bacterial small subunit ribosomal RNA", at positions 338 to 795 of the family's 1533-position model. The record is from RNAcentral.
CCUACGGGUGGCAGCAGUCGAGAAUCAUUCACAAUGGGGGAAACCCUGAUGGUGCGACGCCGCGUGGGGGAAUGAAGGUCUUCGGAUUGUAAACCCCUGUCAUGUGGGAGCAAAUUAAAAAGAUAGUACCACAAGAGGAAGAGACGGCUAACUCUGUGCCAGCAGCCGCGGUAAUACAGAGGUCUCAAGCGUUUUUCGGAAUCACUGGGCGUAAAGCGUGCGUAGGCUGUUUCGUAAGUCGUGUGUGAAAGGCGCGGGCUCAACCCGCGGACGGCACAUGAUACUGCGAGACUAGAGUAAGGGAGGGGGAACCGGAAUUCGCGGUGUAGCAGUGAAAUGCGUAGAUAUCGAGAGGAACACUCGUGGCGAAGGCGGGUUCCUGGACAUUAACUGACGCUGAGGCACGAAGGCCAGGGGAGCGAAAGGGAUUAGAUACCCGAGUAGUC